CAAACUCUCCAGGGAAUGUUCAGGGCACAUUUCUGACCUUUUGAAUUGAGGUCGCAGAAUGAAAAUGCCAUUGUUUGUCACAAAAUGUCCUUUGUCAUUGCUGUAAAUGCCUGGGGAAUCAAAGAUCUAAAUCAGAGGGUGCUUUCUUACGCUCUGUGAUUCUGUGCAAGAGGCCUUCAGCAGGGCUGGACUUCCCUCCCAGAAGGGGAGUUUGGUGCUCAGUGGAUCCUGUCAGGUGAGAAGCCGAGACCCAGCAGAUGUGUGUGCGCACAGCGGAACCAGGAUCUGAAGCUGGACUUACCUGGAGUCCUGGAACAUGGUGAUCCCAUCUCCACUGGACCUGAGUCAGAAGCCUGCUCUAGAGGAAGCAGGAAGUACAUCUGGUUUUGGUUGGAGACGUUGCAUCCAUUCUAAUAAAGCCAAGAGUCAAACUGAAAUACUGGCUCAGGCUGAGAGGAUAUUCUGCCGUUGUAGUUUUGCUCGGGGCCAUUCGUUUUAAGAAGACUGGAGAGUCAGUUCCAGUUUGUCUUGGGGGACUAAGUUCUUAUCAUGUGGUUUCUACUGGUGGCUUAUUGAGAACACAUGCAGGUGACUCUACCACUGACUCCUACCUGGGAAGGGCACGAUGGCCCCGGAAUAGUAUGGGCAUUGGCUUCCUUCCACCUGGAGCUGCCUGCCAGGCGGCCUCCUUCCUCUGCUGGAGAUCUCUGAGCGGCUGGGCUCCCGCUUCCCCCAGGGCCUGCAGUCCCUGGCCUCCUGCAGUUACCCUGGAAGGGCCUGGCACCCUGCCCAGGGCAGAGCUGGGUUUGGAGAUGUGAUGUGUCUCUGGGGGAAGCUGGCUGAGCCCCACCAGUCUCAUUUCAAGUCAGGAACCACCACGGGUCUCCCACAUGAAGCCACAACAUCCACCGAGCCUCCACUUCGAAGACUUCACCCUGCUGCUGCUGGGUGGGUCAACGCUGGGAUGCAGAUGCCAUUUUAUGGCAAAGCUGUCUGUGAAACCAAAUGACAUUGUCCUCAAAGGAACCAAACCUGCCUCUCUUUCAGGCAGAUGACAACCAGAAAAUCAUUAGCAGGCCUAGGAUGUGAGGGAGGAGGAGAAGCCAGUGUCGUCCUUGACUGGAGCGUUGAGAAGCAGCGGUGUGGUAGAUGGGCUACUCCUACCCGAGAGUUGAGACGCAGGGGUGUGGUAGACGGGGCUGUUCCUACAGGCCCGAGGGGGCCACUAUCUGCACCUCUUCCCAACUCCACGUUCAGGGCAGGCAUGGUGGUGGCAUGAAAUCUGCCAAGCUGUGAGUAUUUACGCCAUGGGAAUUGGCAUACGCCAUAAACCAUGGCUUGCUUUUUCAGAGAGCUGACUGUGACACAAUGGAUACCAGUCAUGUUGUGGUUUAUCCUCACUGCCUCAUUCUGUCCUUCCAACCAUCCUAUUAGGCUGGCUCUGUUGUUACAGUUGAAGAAACCCAUGCUCGGAGAGGUCACAGGGCUUUCCAGAGGACCCCCAGCUUGGAGAGGGCAUGGCCAGGGCUGGAUUUGAACCCAAACCUGGAGUGCAUUACCACCCUAUUCUAUGCAGUCUCCAGGUCCUCGUUUGCAAAAUGCAAUGUGAGCUGACCUCACAGGGAUGUUGGGAGAAUCUGGAUAAUGGUUUUGGAGAAGAGGGAGCCCAGCCAGGGGUCCUUCCAGGAGGUUUAUUAUUUCUCUCUUCUCUACGGCCCUUACCUUCUAAACAUUUAGUCAAAUAUGCCUUCUCACUUCAAAGCAAAAAGCCUGUGAUCAGCAGUGAUGGCAGGAAACUAAAGAAAAAUCUGCCUCUCCUUUGGCUGGUGAGAGAUGCUUUGCUUCUUCGGGGCCUCGCCAUGGCCCUGCGCAUCUGCUUCCCUCCUCCCUCUGCCACCCCUGGCAGAUAGAAAAUUCUGCAGUGAUGGAAACACUCCAGGUCUGUGCUGUCCAAUAUGCAGCCACCCGUACACAGGGCUCUUGCGCACAUGAAAGGUGGCUGGUGUGAGUGAGGAACUGGAUUGUAAGUGUAAUUUAAUUUUAAUUAAUUAAAAUUCAGUUAUCAUGGCCAUGCGUGACUAGUUGCCACUGUCUUAGACAGAGCGACUUCAGAGUUCCGCCCCCUCCACCUUCUGGCUCAAUGCCUAGCUCUGCUUCUCCUGUCCAGCCUGGGAGUCGCCCUCUCCAUCCUCUCCACAUCAGCCUUAGUAUUUCAGGCCCUUCUGGAGGUAGCUUUGUCUCCAGAGCCCUCAGGGGCAGGGGCAGCCUGGGACAGUGCAGGCUCUAGUGAGCUCUGUAGCUGAGAAGGGGACCCCCUUUCCUGAGCGGCCUUUGGGAGUGGGGAGCCUGAGAGCAAAGGGUGUCAGGAACACACCCCAGCCUUGUGAGCUGGGACCUGCAGGGUGAGCCCAGGCCCCUGAGCUUUUAAAAGCUCCCGGGUGUUCCUGGUGCAGUGUUUCAGGCUGCAGACUUCAGGCACAUUCUUAUUUUCUUGGGCCACCCCCUCCUCCCACUUUCCCUCAUCCUGGGUCUGAAGCCUCCUCCUCUUUCUCCCCUAAGGAACUCUGUCUUCAUCUCUUUCUUUCUUUAUAUCUGUCCGGGAGCUCCUUGGCCUGGCCCACCUCCUCUGAUGGGCUCUUUCCAGCUUGAUGGCUCCUUUGAGUACCUGCCGUUCCUACCUCCUGUGGGACAUUUCCACCUGCAGGAAAUGCCAACCACACAGACUUAAAAAUCCCCGGACCGAAGUCCUCAUUUCCCCUCCUUUUUCCUCCUCUUAUCUUCUCUGCUUGUGUUAGCAGGGCCAAAUCUUCCGCGGGUCACUGAGGCUCCCAUCUUUAAAGUCAUUGCCAACUUCUCCUUCUCUCUCAACCUGACUGGAUGUUACAAAUUCCUGUGUCAUUUCCAUUCUAUUUCUUGCUUUCAAUCUUUUCUUUCACUUUCAGCAUCUCUGUUCAGACCCUUGUCUCUUCCUGGAUCUAUCUUCUGUAAACUCCAAAGCAGCCCUCACAACUCCUCAUGAUCUUCAAAACAAAGCUUUGAAAAUGAUUGGGCCCUCUGCUCAAGCCCCUCACUGCUGUCAGGAUGAGGUUUGAGUCCUUAGCAGUGCUGUCAGGAUGAGGUUUGAGUCCUUAGCAGUGCUGUCAGGAUGAGGUGUGAGUCAUUAGCAGUACAUUCAGUGCCUGCUAUUACCUUGCCCUACUUCUGUCUUUCCCCGGGACUGACUUCAUGCUCCAGCCCUGAGUGAGUAUCUCAUGGGCCAUCUGUGCACCUGGUUGGAGCUUGUGCAUCUGCAGCGUUCUGUGGUGAAGCAGUCUGAUGUUGAUGGGGAUCAUGAGGCUGUCCCUGGGAUCACUGUGAAAGCGUGCUGCAAUUGAUUAGCAAUGUCUGCUGCUGGUGAGGGUGGGGAGAGUGUGGCACAGGUACCAUGUAUUUACCAACCUGUUUUCCAACAGAUGGGGUUUUUCUCUAUAGCCUGCCCCAAAUCACUUUACACUUUCUGAUACUUGGACUUUUCCUCCAUUCCUGUCCCUUUCUCGGUAUGUUUGAAUUCUAGCAACUCUCUAAGGGCCUGCCUGAGUACUACCUUCUUUGUGAAGUAUUCCUUGUGUGCAGCUGAUGUUGAAGACAGAAAAAUGUAUAUAGAUAAUUCAGCCAGAGACCAAGGGGCAGCCCCUGGUGGAGUGUUAAGCCAGAUGUUCCCAAGCACAGGCAUGGCCAGCCGCAGCCACAUCAUGGGUCAGAGUCCUGGGCCCCAGCUUGGACUCUCCUGUGAUGGGGUCAGAGAUUGGCAUUUUUAACAAGCUCCCAGGUGAUUCUUAGGCAUUACUUGGUGAGAGAACUCCUGUUAGAAUGCCUAAGAGUAAAAUUCUGCCACGCUGUCCCAGAGCUGAGACCUCAGUCGCUGCUUCUCAAACCAUUACAUUUAAUGGCAAAAACUGCAAUCGCUUUUGCCCCAACCUGCAGGGCAGGACCAGUUGUUAAAAAUUCCUUGAUCUAAUGUGAACCAAAAUUGCAAUUAAAAUGUUAGUGGGCAUUUCCCCAUUUUUGUCAUGAUAUAGAUGGAUACUGAAUUUCUUAUCUUUGAAUCAUUUAUUGCUCAGAACUCAAGUAAGCAUGCCAGCACUUCCUAUGUUCGUGCUGGAGGGGAAAUGUUUUACUUUUUACUGGAGAAGACAAGACAGGGUGAUUUUCAUGCUAUUGUUUUAUACACAUGACAACAACAUAUCUUGCCUUAUGUAAAGGCAAGUUCAUAUUUGUAGAUAAUUUAUCUUUUCUUCCUCCACUAAACAUAUGCAGUAAUCACUCAACUGGAAGGUGAGUAUUUAUUUUGUUUUUAAGGAGAGCCACUUUCUAACUGAAGAUGAUUGAUACAGGGAAAAGUUUGUACUACAAUAUAUACCUCAUAUAUUUGACUGCAGGUUAUAAAAUUUUUUAAAAUGGGCUGGGUGCGUUGGCUCAUGCCUGUAAUCCCAGCACUUUGGGAGGCCAAGGUGGGUGGAUCACCUAAGGUCAGGAGUUCAAGAUCGGCCUGGCCAACAUGAUGAAACGCUGUGUCUACUAAAAAUACAAAAAAUGAGCUGGACACGGUGGCAGGUGCCUGUAAUCCCAGCUACUGGGGAGGCUGAGGCAGGAUAAUUGCUUGAAACUGGGAGGUGGAGGUUGCAAUGAGCCAAGAUUGUGCCACUGCACUUCAGCCUGGACAACAAGAGUGACACUUUGUCUCAAAAAAUAUUUUUUAAAAUCUCUAAUUAAUAUAUUUGGAACUGAUUCAUAAGAAAGACUAUGCAAACUGUCCUGAAAAUGAAAAAAAGUUUGAAUCCAUUGCACACUGCUACUUUUAUAAAAUAAUGUAAAAAUGAAUUACUGGAAAAAUACAAUAAAGAUAUAAAAAUAUAAGCCCAACUUUAGACCUCAAAGUACUCUGUUGAAUUGCUGUAA
RNAcentral lists this long non-coding RNA (4938 nucleotides) under Homo sapiens (human). Its description in RNAcentral is "HSALNT0234721". Lineage: Eukaryota; Metazoa; Chordata; Mammalia; Primates; Hominidae. The record is from RNAcentral.